GUCUAUGGCCAUGCUACCCUGAACAAGCCCAAUCCCGUCUGAUCUUGGAAGCUGAGCAGGGUUAGGCCUGGUAGUCAUUGGAUGAAAGACCACCUAGGAAGACCAGGUGCUGCAGGCA
Pteropus vampyrus (large flying fox) is the source of this 118-nucleotide ribosomal RNA. Lineage: Eukaryota; Metazoa; Chordata; Mammalia; Chiroptera; Pteropodidae. The record is from Ensembl.